CAAGAGGUAGUUUAAAUUAAAAUAAUAGCUUUGGGAGUUGUCGAUGUAAGUGAAAAUCCUACCCUCUUGA
RNAcentral lists this transfer RNA (70 nucleotides) under Mespilia globulus. RNAcentral describes it as "tRNA-Pro". It matches the Rfam family "tRNA". From Rfam's summary of the family: Transfer RNA (tRNA) molecules are approximately 80 nucleotides in length. Lineage: Eukaryota; Metazoa; Echinodermata; Echinoidea; Temnopleuroida; Temnopleuridae. The record is from RNAcentral.